RNAcentral lists this ribosomal RNA (382 nucleotides) under uncultured bacterium. Its description in RNAcentral is "partial 16S ribosomal RNA". It matches the Rfam family "Bacterial small subunit ribosomal RNA", at positions 338 to 734 of the family's 1533-position model. The record is from RNAcentral.
CCUACGGGUGGCAGCAGUGGGGAAUAUUGGGCAAUGGACGCAACUCUGACCCAGCAACGCCGCGUGAAUGAUGAAGGUCUUCGGAUUGUAAAGUUCUGUGAUGGGGGAUGAACACAAUGACGGUACUCCAAUAGCAAGCCACGGCUAACUACGUGCCAGCAGCCGCGGUAAUACGUAGGUGGCAAGCGUUAUCCGGAAUGACUGGGCGUAAAGGGUGCGUAGGUGGUUUAGUAAGUUGGCGGUGUAAUUCCGGGGCUCAACCUCGGCGCUACCGCCAAAACUAUUAGGCGAGAGUGCGGGAGAGGUAGGUAGAAUGCCUGGUGUAGCGGUGGAAUGCGUAGAUAUUAGGAGGAACAUCGGGGGCGAAGGCGACUUACUGGAC